Molecule: long non-coding RNA, 2365 nt
Organism: Plodia interpunctella (Indianmeal moth)
Lineage: Eukaryota; Metazoa; Arthropoda; Insecta; Lepidoptera; Pyralidae
Exons: 3
Source: RefSeq, a predicted model, not a curated record
CAUUACUCAUGCCGCACACACCUACGCCAUAUCAAAAUUUCAUACCCUACUUUUAGAAUACGACUAUGUAACACUAGAUGAACAAUCAGUCCGCGUGGAACACCGGGAGACGCUGGUGGAUGGGCUAUGGGAGAGUAUAAAAUGCUCCAAAUUAAAACGUGACAACCGAUACGAAUUACAAAACGUGAAACUUUUUCCCAAAAUAAUCUCUGAAGGAUGUUGCCUAUGCGCGGCUGGUGAAAUUUUACAGAAAUGAAACCAGAUAUUUUUAAAGCACGAGAAUAGAACGAUCAACGUGAUUUCCUGUUGGUGUUUGAUAUUCAGCACCAUUGUGAAUGGACAGUUGCUCAGAUCGACAAUAAUACGUAGGUAAGUCGGAUUGAGCUAAUUAAUAAUUAUAUAUCUGAUGGAAGUUGACUGGAAGGUUUACGAAUUAUAAACCAAAGAAGAGAAAGCACGACGAAUUCGAUGCUUUUCAGCGAGAUUAUAAAUGGACCACACUCAACGAAUACUAAGCUAAUAUCGUGGGUCCGAUGGACACAAACAUGGAUUGUUCGAGCAAUGCUUAAGUCGGAGAAAACGGAUGGCAUUCGUCGUGGAUGAUCUUUUUCCAGCAGAACUUUGAAACAAAAAAUGUUCAACAAAAAAACAAUUAGGUACUUAGAGGAAAGAAACAUAUUUGAACAUAUGGUUGACUGAUAGAGAAUACCACAUGGCGUUAUGUCAACUAUUUGUAUUUUUUUCAAUUAAGUGCAAUAAAGUUUAAAAUAAAUAAAUAAUUCAACUACCUUCGAAAGUGAGGUUAGGCGGAUGAAGAUUCACCGUUAAUUUUGGUAAAAACAUGUUUUUGUCUUUUACAUCAUUAUAGUUUAGUCAUUUUGACUCGCAUGAGGAAUAAGAAGACAAAUAGAAAAUAAGAUAUCCUGCAUGUAAAUCAUUGGAGACGGACGUAGCGUUGCUUAAGCCGUCUGUCUAUUUUGGUCCGCGGAAUGCUUGCGAUUCUGGGAGUUUGCCUGGCAACUACACCAUCGUUCUAGCUCCAGAAUCCAGAAUGCUUACGAACAAUUCUUGGUAUCCAAAGCUUCAGAUGAAAUCGACGAAGAGAAUUCUUAAGAUCCAUCCUGUACCGCACUGAUACAUAUAAAGUAUCAACGAAAUAUAUUCGUAGACGACCAUAAAUAUAGUUAUGGAAAAUUUCUUGGCCAGGUCUUCGAAGGGGUUCGUUGACAGGCGAUGUAUGACGCAUGAGGAUAGCUGUCAGAUGCGUCAUGCUCCCAAACCAUACACCUUCACAUGUUGCUUACCAAUAUCAAUGCUAGCUGAUGCCAGGAAAACAUGGUCAAAUGUGUGUGCACUGUGUCAUUGCAUUGUUGUUUGUCAACAAAUGAAUAAUAACUAGCUUUAAAUAGAAAUUGAAUAAAUUCGAAAAACGACGCACAGGAUAAUUAAUUUCAGUGUGUGUAUUGAGUAUUGUUUUAUUCAUAUCACUAAGUACUGUAUAAGAUUUUGUACAGUAGUAUCGAAGAUUCAUCAUUAACAGCCCCUACAAUUCCACUGCAGGGUAUAGGCCUCACUCAAUUUAUGGCAUUUACCUCUUUUCCUGUUCUGUUCGAAAUUCCGACCAUUCUCAGGUCGUCGACACAUCUUGUCUUCUGAUGAUUAUCUACUAUCCACUUUUGAGACACCAUAUUUAUUUUAUAUUAGCUGUUUCUUGUAGAUCUCCUCGUGAUAAAAUAUAUGGGUGCGUUUGUUAUACAAAUCUUUACCCCCUAUUUAAGAGUACAGAAAAAUCUAAAACAUUUUGGACGGACCACUUCGUUUACAAAAAAUUAUAAAGCACAUUGAGGGCUGCCACGAAAUGUGCUAUAUACGUAACUUUUAUAAGUUAUUAUUGCAAGGAAAAAUUGAACGGAAGUUUGUUGCAUAUUUUGGGAUGUAUAAAGAAACAAUUAAUAAAGUAGAGUUUGGGCGGACCGUCCGCCCUUGUUUCGAUCUCCAUUGUUUAUAAAUAGAUUAGGCGAUUUCAAACUGCCUCCCACUUCUGAGAAAUAUUCGCUUCCCGCAGUCGACAUCUUUGUGAAAUUGUGCAACAUACACGUUGAAAACAUUUCAGCAUAGAAUCAAAACAAAUAAAGAUGUUACGAAUUGAUAUUUGUUUUUAUUUGUACAAAAUCUUAUCUUAUAAUGUGAAUAAAAAUAGUGCGAAAAGAAUAAGUAUAUGGAUAAAGUUUGUUACUAAAAUAUGCCAUAACCGCCGUACCAUAUUUAUAAACAUAUGACCAGAAAAUCCCAUAUGACCAGUGCUCAGGGCUAGUUUGUUAAAAAUAAAUAAAUCUUGUUCUUUAAGAGAUUUUUUUAAUUUCAU